This 301-nucleotide ribosomal RNA is filed under the name uncultured bacterium. RNAcentral's name for it is "partial 16S ribosomal RNA". It matches the Rfam family "Bacterial small subunit ribosomal RNA", at positions 509 to 807 of the family's 1533-position model. The record is from RNAcentral.
CAGCAGCCGCGGUAAUACGGAGGGGGCUAGCGUUGUUCGGAAUUACUGGGCGUAAAGCGCGCGUAGGCGGUUACUCAAGUCAGAGGUGAAAGCCCGGGGCUCAACCCCGGAACUGCCUUUGAAACUAGGUGACUAGAAUCUUGGAGAGGUCAGUGGAAUUCCGAGUGUAGAGGUGAAAUUCGUAGAUAUUCGGAAGAACACCAGUGGCGAAGGCGACUGACUGGACAAGUAUUGACGCUGAGGUGCGAAAGCGUGGGGAGCAAACAGGAUUAGAUACCCGUGUAGUCCCUGUCUCUUAUAC